AGGAAAAGAAACUAACAAGGAUUCCCCUAGUAACUGCGAGUGAAGCGGGAAAAGCUCAAAUUUAAAAUCUGGUAGUCUUUGGCUGCCCGAGUUGUAAUCUAGAGAAGCGUUAUCCGCGCUGGACCGUGUAUAAGUCUCCUGGAAUGGAGCGUCAUAGAGGGUGAGAAUCCCGUCUUUAACACGGACUACCAGGGCUUUGUGAUGCGCUCUCAAAGAGUCGAGUUGUUUGGGAAUGCAGCUCUAAAUGGGUGGUAAAUUCCAUCUAAAGCUAAAUAUUGGCGAGAGACCGAUAGCGAACAAGUACCGUGAGGGAAAGAUGAAAAGAACUUUGGAAAGAGAGUUAAACAGUACGUGAAAUUGUUGAAAGGGAAACGCUUGAAGUCAGUCGCGUUGGUCGGGGAUCAACCUUGCUUUUGCUUGGUGUACUUCCUGGUUAACGGGUCAGCAUCAAUUUUGACCAAUGGAAAAAGGUCAGGGGAAUGUGGCAUCUUCGGAUGUGUUAUAGCCUCUGGUCAUAUACAUUGGUUGGGAUUGAGGAACUCAGCACGCCGCAAGGCCGGGUUUUUACCACGUUCGUGCUUAGGAUGCUGGCAUAAUGGCUUUAAUCGACCCGUCUU
Molecule: ribosomal RNA, 617 nt
Filed under: Entoloma hirtipes
Lineage: Eukaryota; Fungi; Basidiomycota; Agaricomycetes; Agaricales; Entolomataceae
Description: partial large subunit ribosomal RNA
Rfam family: Eukaryotic large subunit ribosomal RNA
Source: RNAcentral